GCGAGCGGCGGACGGGUUAGUAACGCGUGGGAAUAUACCCUUUGGUACGGAAUAGCCUCUGGAAACGGAGAGUAAUACCGUAUGAGCCCUUCGGGGGAAAGAUUUAUCGCCAAAGGAUUAGCCCGCGUUAGAUUAGGUAGUUGGUGGGGUAAUGGCCUACCAAGCCUACGAUCUAUAGCUGGUUUUAGAGGAUGAUCAGCAACACUGGGACUGAGACACGGCCCAGACUCCUACGGGAGGCAGCAGUGGGGAAUCUUGGACAAUGGGGGCAACCCUGAUCCAGCCAUGCCGCGUGAGUGAUGAAGGCCUUAGGGUCGUAAAGCUCUUUCGCCUGUGAAGAUAAUGACGGUAGCAGGUAAAGAAACCCCGGCUAACUCCGUGCCAGCAGCCGCGGUAAUACGGAGGGGGUUAGCGUUGUUCGGAAUUACUGGGCGUAAAGCGCACGUAGGCGGACUGGAAAGUUGGGGGUGAAAUCCCGGGGCUCAACCCCGGAACUGCCUCCAAAACUAUCAGUCUAGAGUUCGAGAGAGGUGAGUGGAAUUCCAAGUGUAGAGGUGAAAUUCGUAGAUAUUUGGAGGAACACCAGUGGCGAAGGCGGCUCACUGGCUCGAUACUGACGCUGAGGUGCGAAAGUGUGGGGAGCAAACAGGAUUAGAUACCCUGGUAGUCCACACCGUAAACGAUGAAUGCCAGUCGUCGGGUAGCAUGCUAUUCGGUGACACACCUAACGGAUUAAGCAUUCCGCCUGGGGAGUACGGUCGCAAGAUUAA
Molecule: ribosomal RNA, 770 nt
Filed under: Ruegeria sp. JZ08ML24
Lineage: Bacteria; Pseudomonadati; Pseudomonadota; Alphaproteobacteria; Rhodobacterales; Roseobacteraceae
Also listed under: 1 other name
Description: bacterial SSU rRNA
Rfam family: Bacterial small subunit ribosomal RNA
Source: RNAcentral